UUGGAUCAUGAUAUUUCUCCUAUUUUGGGCCAGGUAUAUUGGGCCCAUUUAUCAAUUUAAUCUGUUGGGCUUUUAUGAUUAAGCCAUGGGGCUCGUUGAGCCCAUUUAUUGUGUCAACUUUAUUUAAUCCUAUUGGACCGGGUCGGUUCGUUGGAUUAACCCAUUGGGUCAUUUAAUAUCUAUUACUUUGACUUGUAAUGAUGAUAUAGUAUGACAGUUGACCAAGAUAUCUGCCAUGCAUUAAUGUGGAUGGGAUUAUAGCCGGCCGGCGGUGCAAACAGUGACCAGGAGCAGUGGAUAAACUUCAUGUAGUCGGUCGAACCCAUCAGAUCAGGGGGAUAUGUCAGGUGAUAGUGGGCGGCACGGUGAUCCAAGCAAAGAUAUUAUUUCUUAAUGAGUAGGUCUUUACAAGGAGGUAUAUUUUAUUCAUAUAUACACAUUCACACAACAUAUAGAACAGAAUCACUCUCAAUACACUAAAUUCUAUUAUCCUCUUGAGUUAACUUUGUGAACAGACAUACUUACUCUCACGCCUGAGCUAUCCCCCGGCGGUCCGGCCGUCAAGCUUGUGAUGUUUGUCGUGUUUACUGUGCAGGAUCAGGACGU
Molecule: long non-coding RNA, 606 nt
Filed under: Panax ginseng (ginseng)
Lineage: Eukaryota; Viridiplantae; Streptophyta; Magnoliopsida; Apiales; Araliaceae
Description: long non-coding RNA (PGIN_LNC009288)
Source: RNAcentral